RNAcentral lists this ribosomal RNA (492 nucleotides) under uncultured bacterium. Its description in RNAcentral is "partial 16S ribosomal RNA". It matches the Rfam family "Bacterial small subunit ribosomal RNA", at positions 29 to 507 of the family's 1533-position model. The record is from RNAcentral.
AGUGAACGCUGGCGGUAGGCCUAACACAUGCAAGUCGAACGGCAGCACAGUAAGAGCUUGCUCUUACGGGUGGCGAGUGGCGGACGGGUGAGGAAUACAUCGGAAUCUACUUUUUCGUGGGGGAUAACGUAGGGAAACUUACGCUAAUACCGCAUACGACCUACGGGUGAAAGCAGGGGAUCUUCGGACCUUGCGCGAUUGAAUGAGCCGAAGUCGGAUUAGCUAGUUGGCGGGGUAAAGGCCCACCAAGGCGACGAUCCGUAGCUGGUCUGAGAGGAUGAUCAGCCACACUGGAGCUGAGACACGGUCCAGACUCCUACGGGAGGCAGCAGUGGGGAAUAUUGGACAAUGGGCGCAAGCCUGAUCCAGCCAUACCGCGUGGGUGAAGAAGGCCUUCGGGUUGUAAGGCCCUUUUGUUGGGAAAGAAAAGCAGCAGGUUAAUACCCCGCUGUUCUGACGGUACCCAAAGAAUAAGCACCGGCUAACUUCGUG